Molecule: long non-coding RNA, 330 nt
Organism: Rosa chinensis
Lineage: Eukaryota; Viridiplantae; Streptophyta; Magnoliopsida; Rosales; Rosaceae
Exons: 3
Source: RefSeq, a predicted model, not a curated record
CUUUUCCCUCAAGAACCAAAUUUUCGUGGUCGGUACAUUUUUGAAACCAAAGAGACUAAACAGGCUGAAGUAAAGGGCAAAAAGAUCAAGGAUUCCAAAGCUGGCGCUAUUACUGAAGCAAAACCAUUUUCGCACCUACAGGAAUGUGGUCCUCGUUUUACCCUUAAAUUGAUCAGUCUGCAGCACGGGACAUUUGAUCCUAGAGGCGGGGAGUUUGAGUGGGUUCACAAGGUAAUCCACUUAUCAGUCAAUUCAUUUCAGUAUAUUGGUUUCAUAUCUUUAUCAUAAGAAAAUAUUGAAAGAUACCCAUAUUGUUAGUCAAUUGUUUGC